UGGGGAAUAUUGGACAAUGGGGGGAACCCUGAUCCAGCAAUGCCGCGUGUGUGAAGAAGGCCUGAGGGUUGUAAAGCACUUUCAGUGGGGAGGAGGUUUGAUUGGUUAAGAGCUGAUUAAAUGGACGUUACCCACAGAAGAAGCACCGGCUAACUCCGUGCCAGCAGCCGCGGUAAUACGGAGGGUGCGAGCGUUAAUCGGAAUUACUGGGCGUAAAGGGUGCGUAGGUGGUUAAUUAAGUUAUCUGUGAAAUCCCUGGGCUUAACCUGGGCAGGUCAGAUAAGACUGAUUGACUCGAGUAUAGGAGAGGGUAGUGGAAUUUCCGGUGUAGCGGUGAAAUGCGUAGAGAUCGGAAGGAACAUCGGUGGCGAAGGCGGCUACCUGGCCUGAUACUGACACUGAGGCACGAAAGCGUGGGGAGCAAACAGGAUUAGAUACCCGUGUAGUCCCUGAGCGGGCUGGCAAGGCGCAU
This 472-nucleotide ribosomal RNA is filed under the name uncultured bacterium. RNAcentral describes it as "bacterial SSU rRNA". It matches the Rfam family "Bacterial small subunit ribosomal RNA", at positions 355 to 825 of the family's 1533-position model. The record is from RNAcentral.